CCAUUCCUAUUGCAGUGAUUUAGGCAUCAGCACAAGUUGACAGUAGAUAACCACAACCUUAUUGGAGACUUAUAUUUAUCUUGGUAAAUUCACCUUGUACCCUAGUGUUGCUGGAUAA
This is a non-coding RNA of Ceratotherium simum simum (southern white rhinoceros), 118 nucleotides long. Lineage: Eukaryota; Metazoa; Chordata; Mammalia; Perissodactyla; Rhinocerotidae. The record is from RefSeq and is a predicted model, not a curated record.